Schizosaccharomyces pombe (fission yeast) is the source of this 757-nucleotide non-coding RNA. The record is from the annotation of a GenBank genome assembly. NCBI's taxonomy places the organism in Eukaryota, Fungi, Ascomycota, Schizosaccharomycetes, Schizosaccharomycetales, Schizosaccharomycetaceae.
UUAAACGGAAAGUAAGUCCAUAAAUGGUCGAUGGUAUCCAAGGAACGAAGUUCAGCAUUGACGUCUUUACUUUUCUCAAGGUAAACGUGCAAUGACUUGUGUUUAUCCUUUGCUUCGUAAACAUACUGCAGAAUUGGCUCACAGCCAAAGACUUUUACACGACAACCAACAAUAUGUAAUUCUCCGGUUUCCGUAGGAGUUACAGUAAGUGUAGUACGCUCUAUAGAUAGUGGCCGCAUCGUAAAAGUAGAAUGUGAACAUUUUGCAGAAACCCCUUUCGUUUCUAAAUGAACAUCUUGCACUUCAACUGAUACACUAAGAGGGUUACGAAAAUAGAUCGAAAACGCAACUUGUUCAUCGACAACGAGGACUGAUUUCGAUUGGUUUUGGUCCUGUCUUCUAUUAAAUGGAUUAUAGAUGAAUGGUCCUUUUUCAAUUGAUUUUGGUAACCCGUUUCUUAACCGUUGAUGAAUUAAUUCGGCAUUCUCGGACGAACCAAUGAACUUUAAAUCCGUUAUCAUAAAUGGGUCCCAGUAUGGAGCGUUAAUGUGUAUACCAGCAUUGCUAGCAAAUAGGUACGUUUUUCUAAAAGCUUUAAACAUAGAGAUUUGUUGGGAAGAAGAAGCAGUUUGAACAGAAGUGAGAAAAAACAAAGAAAUUAAAAGAAGAAUACUGCGAUAGUCAGAUAGAGAAUCACAAAGGGAUAUAAGCUCAUUAAGAACAUCAAAUUGUAAAUUUGACCAACCCCAUUUUGUUA